RNAcentral lists this ribosomal RNA (687 nucleotides) under uncultured Bacteroidales bacterium. RNAcentral describes it as "bacterial SSU rRNA". It matches the Rfam family "Bacterial small subunit ribosomal RNA", at positions 60 to 737 of the family's 1533-position model. Lineage: Bacteria; Pseudomonadati; Bacteroidota; Bacteroidia; Bacteroidales. The record is from RNAcentral.
AGUCGAGGGGCAUCGGGAUUGAAGCUUGCUUCAAUUGCCGGCGACCGGCGCACGGGUGCGUAACGCGUAUGUGACCUACCUAUAACAGGGGCAUAACACUGAGAAAUUGGUACUAAUUCCCCAUAAUAUUCGGAGAGGCAUCUCUCCGGGUUGAAAACUCCGGUGGUUAUAGAUGGACAUGCGUUGUAUUAGCUAGUUGGUGAGGUAACGGCUCACCAAGGCAACGAUACAUAGGGGGACUGAGAGGUUAACCCCCCACACUGGUACUGAGACACGGACCAGACUCCUACGGGAGGCAGCAGUGAGGAAUAUUGGUCAAUGGACGCAAGUCUGAACCAGCCAUGCCGCGUGCAGGAAGACGGCUCUAUGAGUUGUAAACUGCUUUUGUACGAGGGUAAACUCACCUACGUGUAGGUGACUGAAAGUAUCGUACGAAUAAGGAUCGGCUAACUCCGUGCCAGCAGCCGCGGUAAUACGGAGGAUUCAAGCGUUAUCCGGAUUUAUUGGGUUUAAAGGGUGCGUAGGCGGUUUGAUAAGUUAGAGGUGAAAUCCCGGGGCUUAACUCCGGAACUGCCUCUAAUACUGUUAGACUAGAGAGUAGUUGCGGUAGGCGGAAUGUAUGGUGUAGCGGUGAAAUGCUUAGAGAUCAUACAGAACACCGAUUGCGAAGGCAGCUUACCAAACUAU